RNAcentral lists this long non-coding RNA (1302 nucleotides) under Gouania willdenowi (blunt-snouted clingfish). Its description in RNAcentral is "lncRNA (ENSGWIG00000004352.1)". The record is from RNAcentral. Lineage: Eukaryota; Metazoa; Chordata; Actinopteri; Blenniiformes; Gobiesocidae.
AAAAAAAAGAAAAGUUGCAAUAGCUUGGAUUGAUGAGUGUGCACUGCUGUCAUCAGUGGUUCUUUUUUCUUGUUUUUGUUUUUGUUAGGAUUGGGUUGGCCCUGAUAACAUUGAAGGGUAUGGCGCAGUGCAGGAUCUGGCUGAUUACUUGGCUGGACUAAGAGACCACCAUCUUGCGCUGACUCAGGAGGAAUGUAGUCAGGUCAUUGCUCUGUGGCAGGAACUGGGGGAGUAUGACAAAAAAAAAAACUGUCUACCCAGCUCGACACCAGACCAGCCUGAGCAAGGGACGAUUCCGGGCUACGAAGAAGAUUGUGGCUCCAGGUGUGGAGAGCACCAAAAGGUGAAUUAAACUAGGAAAACACAAUAUCUGAGUUAUGUAAAAAAAAGUUAAAUAUAAUGUAAGUCACACAUUAUUGUAAUGUUUUUAAAGCAUACAUUAUUUUUAACUACAGGUCUUUCAUCGGGGCUCACAGUCCUGCGCAGUGGCCCGACUGCAACAGAGUGGUUGAGGCGAUCUUUGUCAAGCUUUUUGCCAUCUACCCGAGCACUGUGCGCUGUGAGGGAAAGAAGCUGUCAAGAUACACUGUGGUGAUACGCACGUACAAAAACAUCAGGGAGUGCGUAGUCACAAACGCCAGGCUGAUGAGUGAGACCAUUAUAAAGCUACCUGACGUAAAUGCUGCAACAGUUUCACAGUGGUACUGCAGGCGGUGCAAGGCACAGGAGCAGGAUAUUUUAAAGCAGGGUCUUCCAGCUUUACAGGCCCCAAUGGCAGCUCCAUCAAGACUUCCACCUGCCCUGCAGAAAGGACAUACUUUUACAUUUGGCUCUUUAGCUCAGCCUCAUCCUUUUGUGCUGCCACCGAACACUGCUGGGCAGGCACAACUUAAAGGAAGACCACCAUCUCAGCCACCACCACCACCACCACCACCACAGACAUUGCUCUUUUUUCAUCCUGUUCCACCUGCCCCUCCAAAACCCUUAAUUACUUCCCCUCUAACAUUUCAGACACAGGUAACACCUCAAGCGGUUUCCUACACCACACAGCAGUAUAGGAAAAGAAAAAUGGAGGCAGAGCAGUCAGGUAUUUUUAAAAGAAAAUACACCAAAAAGAAAGACACUAUAGUUUGCAGCAAGUGCAAAAAGGACAGGAACCCUCCUACACAUCGCCAGUAUUUUGGCAACUGGUAUUGAGAAGAGACUGAGACUCAGUCCUAUGAUGAGUGGAGGGCUUUACUGGAGGAGCGCAAUUAUGGCAAAAAGUAAAUAAAGUGGGAAAUGAGGAACCUCUUUCCUCCA